UGUUAAAAUAUUAAUCUAUUUGUAUUGUUUAAAACAUGUGCGAUUGAUAGAAUAACCAAAUAGUAACACGUGGCAUGCUACGUGUACCUCAUGCAGAGAUACAAUGACCAAUUUAUAAUAGUAGAAAUUGAUGAGAUUUUUAACA
Molecule: non-coding RNA, 145 nt
Organism: Gossypium hirsutum (cotton)
Lineage: Eukaryota; Viridiplantae; Streptophyta; Magnoliopsida; Malvales; Malvaceae
Source: Rfam